UAUUGUUUAAAGGCCAGGUCCUUGCUGUGGUUGGGGGAAGUGAUACUGCUACCGAGGAAGCUUUGUACUUGACUAAAUAUGCUCGUCAUGUUCACUUGGUUAUUCUUCAUUUUUCACUCUUUCUAAUCUCUAUAUUGCAGAUUGCUUUCAUGAGAAACAAGGAUUUCAGGAAAGAGCUACUAGUUCUUGAGGACUUGGUGCUAGAACACAUAGUAUGAUAAGUUUUAGCUAUAAGAUAGUUGAUACUUUUAAUUUUUUUCAAUUUUGAAUCGAAUAUGAAAUGAUGAUGUAUACUUGAUACUUGGUUCAUUUUGAUGAUAAUGUAUGAAUAUUUUGGAUAAUAUAUAAUAUUGUUAUUUUUAAUUUU
RNAcentral lists this long non-coding RNA (367 nucleotides) under Salvia miltiorrhiza (redroot sage). Its description in RNAcentral is "long non-coding RNA (SMIL_LNC002765)". Lineage: Eukaryota; Viridiplantae; Streptophyta; Magnoliopsida; Lamiales; Lamiaceae. The record is from RNAcentral.